This 250-nucleotide ribosomal RNA is filed under the name uncultured bacterium. RNAcentral describes it as "partial 16S ribosomal RNA". It matches the Rfam family "Bacterial small subunit ribosomal RNA", at positions 524 to 773 of the family's 1533-position model. The record is from RNAcentral.
UACGUAGGUGGCAAGCGUUGUCCGGAAUCACUGGGCGUAAAGCGCGCGCAGGCGGCGAUCUACGUCUGGGGUGAAAGCCCGGAGCUCAACUCCGGGACUGCCUUGGAUACGGGAUCGCUUGAGGAUUGGAGAGGCAAGGGGAAUUCCACGUGUAGCGGUGAAAUGCGUAGAUAUGUGGAGGAACACCUGUGGCGAAGGCGCCUUGCUGGCCAAUUUCUGACGCUGAGGCGCGAAAGCGUGGGGAGCAAAC